Molecule: long non-coding RNA, 258 nt
Organism: Pseudopipra pipra
Lineage: Eukaryota; Metazoa; Chordata; Aves; Passeriformes; Pipridae
Exons: 3
Source: RefSeq, a predicted model, not a curated record
GCGGUAUAAAGGGCCGGCGGGGCGGGUGCGGUCGGUUGUGUGUGAGGGCUGAGGGUGCGGCCUCGCUGCUGCCCGGGCUGCGGAGGGGAGAGCGCCUUGGCCGCUGGCCUGGCUCGUGGUUUCCCCUGGUGCUGGGGAGUGGAGGCGAGUUGUGCUUCCUGCUGGGAGAGAGAAGGGCCUUGGGAAGCUGCUCCAUGAGCCACAGCUGUGCCGAGCCCGGGAGUCUGUCCAGCAGGAUGUCGAGUGACACCGUGUCCC